Molecule: ribosomal RNA, 497 nt
Filed under: uncultured bacterium
Lineage: Bacteria
Description: partial 16S ribosomal RNA
Rfam family: Bacterial small subunit ribosomal RNA
Source: RNAcentral
GAUGAACGCUGGCGGCGUGCCUAACACAUGCAAGUCGAGCGAACAGACGAUGAGCUUGCUCCUCUGACGUUAGCGGCGGACGGGUGAGUGACGCGUGGAUAACCUACCUAUAAGACUGGGAUAACUUCGGGAAACCGGUGCUAAUACAGGAUCUUAUAUUGAACCGCAUGGUUCAAUAGUUAACGACGCUUUUGCUGUCCCUUAUCGAUGGAUCCGCGCCGGAUUUGCUGGUUGGUAAGGUAACGGCUUACCAAGGCGACGAUGCGUAGCCGAGCGGAGAGGGUGAUCGGCGACACGGGAGCUUAGACACGGUCCCGGCUCCUACGAGAGGCACCAGUAGCGAAUCUGCCGCAACGGGCGAAAGUCUGACGGAGCGACGCCGCGUGAGUGAUGAAGACGGUGGGAUCGUAAAACUCGGUUAUUGGGUAAGAACAAAUGUGUAAGUAGCUGUGCACGUGGUGACGGUACCUAAUCAAGAAGCCACGGCUAACUACGUG